UACGUAGGGGGCGAGCGUUGUCCGGAUUUAUUGGGCGUAAAGAGCUCGUAGGCGGUUGGGUAAGUCGGGUGUGAAAACUCAGGGCUCAACUCUGAGACGCCACUCGAUACUGCUCUGACUCGAGUCCGGUAGGGGAGUGUGGAAUUCCCGGUGUAGCGGUGAAAUGCGCAGAUAUCGGGAGGAACACCAGUGGCGAAGGCGGCGCUCUGGGCCGGAACUGACGCUGAGGAGCGAAAGCGUGGGUAGCAAACAGG
This 254-nucleotide ribosomal RNA is filed under the name uncultured bacterium. Its description in RNAcentral is "partial 16S ribosomal RNA". It matches the Rfam family "Bacterial small subunit ribosomal RNA", at positions 524 to 776 of the family's 1533-position model. The record is from RNAcentral.